RNAcentral lists this long non-coding RNA (830 nucleotides) under Marmota monax (woodchuck). The record is from RNAcentral. Lineage: Eukaryota; Metazoa; Chordata; Mammalia; Rodentia; Sciuridae.
GUGCCCCUUCCCAGCCACCUGGAGUCCAGACCCACCCGCUGGACGAGGCCAUUGGGCCAGAAGGGGCUGCUCCCAAAGAGGGCUCUGCUGGCCUGGAGCAGGGGACAGUGUGCAGCUAGAAGCUUGGGGUGAGGGGGGGCAGCGCAGGACUGUGAUGGACGGUCGUGGAGACCUUUGGGGGACAUUGUGGCUUGCUCACGGGUUCCCCGGUGACUGUGGGUCACCAACUUGAUGGACUGAGAAACGCGAGGACACUGGCCAGGCACAUUUGAGGUGGGAGGGUGUUUCUGGAGCGGAUUGGCACAUGAGUUGGUGCUGCCCAGGGUGGGGACUCUCAGAGAGGCGCCUGGCAGGAAAGGGAAGGGAGGUCACGCAUGCACCUGCUGGAGCCUCUGCACGGGGCUUGUGCAGUUGUAGCCUUUGCGUGAGCGCAUGCGUUUGCUCAGAGCCUUCACGUGGGCGCAUGCGCUUGCCGGAGCCAUUGCAUGGGGCUCGGGCAGCUGGAGCUUUCACGUGGGCGCAUGCGCCUGUUGGAGCCUUCGCGCGGGGCUUGUGCCGCUGAGCCUUUGCGCAGGCGCAUUCAUUUGCUCAGAGCCUCGGUGCGAGCUGGAGCCUUCGCGCGGGCGCACGUGUUCCCAGGAGCCUUCGCGCGAGGCUUGUGCAGCUGGAGCCUUUGCAUGUGAGCAUGCGCUUGCUGAGUCUUUGCGCGGGCGCAUGCGUUCGCUGGAAUUUUCGCGAGGGCGCAUGCGCUUUGUGCUCUCCAGCCUGCCUGAGGUACUCCUCUCUGGCCGCCAUUGCCGAGGGACCUCUGAAGCCGGCUUCUUCAGCCC